RNAcentral lists this ribosomal RNA (415 nucleotides) under uncultured bacterium. Its description in RNAcentral is "bacterial SSU rRNA". It matches the Rfam family "Bacterial small subunit ribosomal RNA", at positions 355 to 794 of the family's 1533-position model. The record is from RNAcentral.
UGGGGAAUAUUGGACAAUGGGCGCAAGCCUGAUCCAGCCAUGCCGCGUGAGUGAUGAAGGCCUUAGGGUUGUAAAGCUCUUUUACCAGGGAAGCUGUACCUGGAGAAUAAGCCCCGGCUAACUUCGUGCCAGCAGCCGCGGUAAUACGAAGGGGGCUAGCGUUGCUCGGAAUCACUGGGCGUAAAGCGCACGUAGGUGGGUCGCUUAGUCGGGGGUGAAAUCCUGGAGCUCAACUCCAGAACUGCCUUCGAUACUGGCGAUCUUGAGUCCGGGAGAGGUGGGUGGAACUGCGAGUGUAGAGGUGAAAUUCGUAGAUAUUCGCAAGAACACCAGUGGCGAAGGCGGCUCGCUGGCCCGGUACUGACACUGAGGUGCGAAAGCGUGGGGAGCAAACAGGAUUAGAUACCCUAGUAGU